CAGCCGCCGUGGUAAUACAGAGGGUUCGAGCGUUAAUCGGAUUUACUGGGCGUAAAGCGUGCGUAGGCGGCUUUUUAAGUCGGAUGUGAAAUCCCUGAGCUUAACUUAGGAAUUGCAUUCGAUACUGGGAAGCUAGAGUAUGGGAGAGGAUGGUAGAAUUCCAGGUGUAGCGGUGAAAUGCGUAGAGAUCUGGAGGAAUACCGAUGGCGAAGGCAGCCAUCUGGCCUAAUACUGACGCUGAGGUACGAAAGCAUGGGGAGCAAACAGGAUUAGAUACCCCGGUAGUCCCUGUCUCUUAUAC
RNAcentral lists this ribosomal RNA (301 nucleotides) under uncultured bacterium. RNAcentral's name for it is "partial 16S ribosomal RNA". It matches the Rfam family "Bacterial small subunit ribosomal RNA", at positions 509 to 807 of the family's 1533-position model. The record is from RNAcentral.